RNAcentral lists this microRNA precursor (73 nucleotides) under Tursiops truncatus (common bottlenose dolphin). RNAcentral describes it as "microRNA 711 (ENSTTRG00000023902.1)". It matches the Rfam family "mir-711 microRNA precursor family". The record is from RNAcentral. Lineage: Eukaryota; Metazoa; Chordata; Mammalia; Artiodactyla; Delphinidae.
CUGACUUGAGUCUCUCCUCAGGGUGCUAUAGGCAAGGCUGGGGACCCAGGGAGAGACGUAAGUAAGGGGAGAU